GAUGAACGCUGGCGGCGUGCCUAAUACAUGCGAGUCGAGCGAACAGACGAGGAGCUUGCUCCUCUGACGUUAGCGGCGGACGGGUGAGUAACACGUGGAUAACCUACCUAUAAGACUGGGAUAACUUCGGGAAACCGGAGCUAAUACCGGAUAAUAUAUAGAACCGCAUGGUUCAAUAGUGAAAGACGGUUUUGCUGUCACUUAUAGAUGGAUCCGCGCCGCAUUAGCUAGUUGGUAAGGUAACGGCUUACCAAGGCAACGAUGCGUAGCCGACCUGAGAGGGUGAUCGGCCACACUGGAACUGAGACACGGUCCAGACUCCUACGGGAGGCAGCAGUAGGGAAUCUUCCGCAAUGGGCGAAAGCCUGACGGAGCAACGCCGCGUGAGUGAUGAAGGUCUUCGGAUCGUAAAACUCUGUUAUUAGGGAAGAACAAAUGUGUAAGUAACUAUGCACGUCUUGACGGUACCUAAUCAGAAAGCCACGGCUAACUACGUG
This 497-nucleotide ribosomal RNA is filed under the name uncultured bacterium. Its description in RNAcentral is "partial 16S ribosomal RNA". It matches the Rfam family "Bacterial small subunit ribosomal RNA", at positions 28 to 507 of the family's 1533-position model. The record is from RNAcentral.